Molecule: ribosomal RNA, 387 nt
Filed under: uncultured eukaryote
Lineage: Eukaryota
Description: partial 18S ribosomal RNA
Rfam family: Eukaryotic small subunit ribosomal RNA
Source: RNAcentral
CAAUAGCGUAUAUUAAAGUUGUUGCAGUUAAAAAGCUCGUAGUUGGAUUUCUGAUUGAGACAUCAGGUCGGGUCCGAGAGGAUCAUGUACUUUGAUUUGUUUUGAUCAUCCUUGGGGAGAGCAGUUCUGGCAUUAAGUUGUCGGGGUUGGGAUCCUCAUCGUUUACUGUGAAAAAAUUAGAGUGUUCAAAGCAGGCCUCGGCCUCUGAAUACAUUAGCAUGGAAUAAUAAGAUAGGACUUUGGUGGUCUAUUUUGUUGGUUUGCACGCCAAAGUAAUGAUUAAUAGGGAUAGUUGGGGGUAUUCGUAUUCAAUUGUCAGAGGUGAAAUUCUUGGAUUUAUGGAAGACGAACUACUGCGAAAGCAUUUGCCAAGGAUGUUUUCAUUGA